This 492-nucleotide ribosomal RNA is filed under the name uncultured bacterium. Its description in RNAcentral is "partial 16S ribosomal RNA". It matches the Rfam family "Bacterial small subunit ribosomal RNA", at positions 29 to 507 of the family's 1533-position model. The record is from RNAcentral.
AGUGAACGCUGGCGGUAGGCCUAACACAUGCAAGUCGAACGGCAGCACAGUAAGAGCUUGCUCUUACGGGUGGCGAGUGGCGGACGGGUGCGGAAUACAUCGGAAUCUACUUUUUCGUGGGGGCUAACGUAGGGAAACUUACGCUAAUACCGCAUACGACCUCCGGGUGAAAGCAGGGGAUCUUCUGACCUUGCGCGAUUGAAUGAGCCGAUGUCGGAUUAGCUAGUUGGCGGGGUAAAGGCCAACCAAGGCGACGAUCCGUAGCUGGUCUGAGAGGAUGAUCAGCCACACUGGAACUGAGACACGGUCCAGACUCCUACGGGAGGCAGCAGUGGGGAAUAUUGGACAAUGGGCGCAAGCCUGAUACAGCCAUACCGCGUGAGCGAAGAAGGCCUUCGGGUUGUAAAGCCCUUUUGUUGGGAAAGAAAAGCAGCAGGUUAAUACCCCGCUGUUCUGACGGUACCCAAAGAAUAAGCACCGGCUAACUUCGUG